CCUGAAUCGCAGUGGGAAUCAGGGAGGCGGCAACACCUGCGUGCCGUCAUAAAGACCCCCACCAUGCCCUCGUAAAGACCCCCAUCACACCGUCCUGAAGACCCCCACAUACCCUCGUAAAGACCCCAUCACACCAUCCUAAAGACCCCCACACACACUCGUAAAGACCCCAUCACACCAUCCUGAAGACCCCACACACCCUCGUAAAGACCCCAUCACACCGUCCUAAAGACCCCCACAUACCCUCGUAAAGACCCCCAUCACACCGUCCUGAAGACCCCCACACACCCUCGUAAAGACCCCAUCACACCGUCCUGAAGACCCCCACACACACUCGUAAAGACCCCAUCACACCAUCCUGAAGACCCCACACACCCUCGUAAAGACCCCAUCACACCGUCCUGAAGACCCCACACACACUCGUAAAGACCCCAUCACACCAUCCUGAAGACCCCACACACCCUCGUAAAGACCCCAUCACACCGUCCUGAAGACCCCACACACCCUCGUAAAGACCCCAUCACACCGUCCUGAAGACCCCACACACCCUCGUAAAGACCCCAUCACACCGUCCUGAAGACCCCACACACCCUCGUAAAGACCCCAUCACACCAUCCUGAAGACCCCACACACCCUCGUAAAGACCCCAUCACACCAUCCUGAAGACCCCACACACCCUCGUAAAGACCCCAUCACACCGUCCUAAAGACCCCCACACACCCUCGUAAAGACCCCAUCACACCAUCCUGAAGACCCCACACACACUCGUAAAGACCCCAUCACACCGUCCUAAAGACCCCCCCUAUUGCCGGGCGCGGUGGCUCACGCCUGUAAUCCCAGCACCUUGGGAGGCUGAGGCGGCGGAUCACGAGGUCAGGAGGUGGAGACCAUCCUGACUAACACGGUGAAACCCCAUCUCUACUAAAAAUUAGCCGGGCGCGGUGGCGGGCGCCUGUGGUCCCAGCUACUCGGGAGGCUGAGGCAGGAGAAUGGCG
RNAcentral lists this long non-coding RNA (995 nucleotides) under Homo sapiens (human). RNAcentral's name for it is "non-protein coding lnc-MOV10L1-1:1". Lineage: Eukaryota; Metazoa; Chordata; Mammalia; Primates; Hominidae. The record is from RNAcentral.